ACCUGGCCUGGUGACCUUCUCUGUGCAAGCAGGGAGCAGGCACACACCACCAAUGAGUGAAGAAGGCUGGUGUGGCAUGCUCGGGACCUAGAGGGAACCUGCCUCAUUGACAGGGGACAGCAGCUGCACAGCUCCAGACAAUCGUUGUCAAGGACCGGAAUGAGAUUCUAACAUGGCUGAUCUGAUUUUUCAAGAAAGAAAUGACUUCUGGCAACUGACAGGCUCCACGCUGAGUGUUCACACUGUGCCCAAUUCUGCCCUGAGCACUUUGCUUGGUUUCUCCACAACAAUAUUGUGAUCAGUAUAAUUACUGUUAUUCCCAUUUUAUAGAUGAGAAAAAUAGUAAUGGAGGAAAUGGAAGGAAAAAGGAUGGCCAUAAGUUGGAAGCAGGUAUGGUAACAGUGUCCCUACUUGCAGCAGGCGGGCAAGACAUAUAGCUCAAGGUUUUCCAGAAACCUGACCAACGAUAGGAAAUGGGUCGGCGAUAAUAUUCAUAGAGUCCAGAAGAUAAAAACAAACUGGUUGCUCAGAAGACACACAAAUGGCCCCUAUCUAACGCAUGUGGCCUUGGACAAGUCACUUCUCUCUCAUUCUCUAUCUUCUGUACAAAGGGAGUGAUUACAAUAAUGUCCCCAUCACAGGGCACUUAUGCAGGUCAAGGAAGUAGACAAAUGCAGCAGUCACUGUGCCUAGAACCCAGAAGAUGCUGUAUCAAUGUUCAUUCUCCUGUCUUUCUUGCGGUCUUUUGUUCUCCCUCCAUUUACUGAAGGCAGCGUCUUGGAGUGUGGGUGUUUAACUAUAAAGUCAUUGGCAACCAAGCAGCUGCCCAACCAGCUCAUUAUGACCUAAAAAGAAGAAAGGAGCUUUGCAAGGAAGCUUUGCAAGCAUGCCAGCUCCUGAAUUUCAUGAGCAGUGGGCAGCUGAAUGGUGAGUUCUCGCCUGAGCUCAGCUUAAAAUGCACGUAAGAAUGAAAGGGGCCUCCAGCACAGUCCACCUCUUGCCACUCUGUUAUAGUGCUGUGCCCUGGGAUAUUCAGGAAAGUUACGCUGUUCCAUCAUCUCCUGCAGCCGAGAAACACAAUUGAUUUUCCUGGCCUCAUUUCUGUUAUAAAGAACAAUUUCCCCCAGGGAUCCCCAGAGAACUAAAAUGGAGAAAAUCUCAUUCAUAUUUUACCAUGUAAGCCAAAGCCUAAUUGUUCACUGGACAAUAGAUACAAGCUGAACGCCUAGCCCUUCGCUGGCCCUGGGCCAGGCACAUGGGAUGCAGGGAUGACGUAUACGUGGUGUCUGCUCUCAGGAAAGACUCAUAGAAGGCAAGGUGAAAGACCCAAAUUCAUGGAAGAGAAGUGAGUCACGCAGGGAGCCAGUGGCAGAGCCACACCCCACAGAGCAAUCAACGUGCCCUACUCUGCAGACCUGCAACAUAGAGGGAAGCCAGACUCUGACGCAAGAGGGAAAGACCAUGUGUUGGCUCAGUGUGUGCAGCCUGGAGUGAGCUACUGAACUCUAAAUCCAAGGAUGACUAAUAGGCAGAAUGACAUUAAUACCAGACCUGAUGAAGACAGCACAAAAAGUAAAUCUCAACACAACCUCACAAUAUUAAUAAAGCAAAAAUUUUAAAUACAGUAAUGUAUUAGCAAACAGAACUCCAUGGUACACCAUGACCAAAUGAGGACAUGUAAGAAUGGCUUAAUAUCUGAAAAUAUAUUAGUAUAAUUUACCAUAAUGCCAAGUCAAAGAAGACAAACCAUAUCACCAUGUCCAUAAAUGCAGAAAGGGUAUUUAGGGGGGAAAAAACAUCAAAAUGUAAAUGCUAAAACACUAGAAAUAGCAAAUCUGAAAGUACUGACCACUGCAAUUAGACAGGAAAAUGACAUCAGGAGUCUAAAAAUUGCAAACAGGAAAUAACAUAAGAAAACUAAAUAUCAG
This is a long non-coding RNA of Gorilla gorilla gorilla (western lowland gorilla), 1928 nucleotides long. RefSeq lists it as uncharacterized. The record is from RefSeq and is a predicted model, not a curated record. NCBI's taxonomy places the organism in Eukaryota, Metazoa, Chordata, Mammalia, Primates, Hominidae. The transcript has 4 exons.